This 68-nucleotide transfer RNA is filed under the name Mammuthus primigenius (woolly mammoth). Its description in RNAcentral is "tRNA-Trp". Lineage: Eukaryota; Metazoa; Chordata; Mammalia; Proboscidea; Elephantidae. The record is from RNAcentral.
NNNAAUUUAGGUUAAAACAGACCAAGAGCCUUCAAAGCCCUAAGUAAGUGCAUUAUACUUAACUCCUG